Molecule: transfer RNA, 75 nt
Filed under: Schistocerca americana (American grasshopper)
Lineage: Eukaryota; Metazoa; Arthropoda; Insecta; Orthoptera; Acrididae
Description: tRNA-Ser
Rfam family: tRNA
About the family: Transfer RNA (tRNA) molecules are approximately 80 nucleotides in length.
Source: RNAcentral
GCUUCGGUAGCUCAGUUGGUAGAGCACUUGCCCUCGAAAGGCAAAGGUCCCGAGUUUGAGUCUCGGUCGAGCGCA